GCCCCAGUAGCUCAAGGGAUAGAGCAUCGGACUUCUAAUCCGGUGGUUGGGGGUUCGAAUCCCUCCUGGGGUA
RNAcentral lists this transfer RNA (73 nucleotides) under Chloroflexota bacterium. RNAcentral's name for it is "tRNA-Arg". It matches the Rfam family "tRNA". Rfam says of the family: Transfer RNA (tRNA) molecules are approximately 80 nucleotides in length. Lineage: Bacteria; Bacillati; Chloroflexota. The record is from RNAcentral. RNAcentral also lists the same sequence under 1 other name.